RNAcentral lists this ribosomal RNA (459 nucleotides) under uncultured bacterium. RNAcentral describes it as "bacterial SSU rRNA". It matches the Rfam family "Bacterial small subunit ribosomal RNA", at positions 343 to 793 of the family's 1533-position model. The record is from RNAcentral.
AGGAGGCAGCAGUGAGGAAUUGUUCGCAAUGGGCGCAAGCCUGACGACGCAACGCCGCGUGGAGGACGAAGACCUUCGGGUCGUAAACUCCUUUCGAUCGAGACGAACAGCCUUCGGGUGAACAAUCCGGAGGAAUGACGGUACCGAGAGAAGAAGCCCCGGCUAACUCCGUGCCAGCAGCCGCGGUAAUACGGGGGGGGCAAGCGUUGUUCGGAAUUACUGGGCGUAAAGGGCUCGUAGGCGGCCAACUAAGUCAGACGUGAAAUCCCUCGGCUUAACCGGGGAACUGCGUCUGAUACUGGAUGGCUUGAGUUUGGGAGAGGGAUGCGGAAUUCCAGGUGUAGCGGUGAAAUGCGUAGAUAUCUGGAGGAACACCGGUGGCGAAGGCGGCAUCCUGGACCAACACUGACGCUGAGGAGCGAAAGCCAGGGGAGCAAACGGGAUUAGAUACCCUCGUAC